CCAUAAAAGAAUGCCGUAAAAAGCUACUUCUCUUGUAGUAGUUGCAAAUGCUAGUGGGAGUGAGCCUUUUAGUAAUGGAAGCAGCAGCAUAUGUCCUGGUGAAGUUUGGAAGUCUAAGAAUCUGGUGGAAGAAGGCAGUUCAAAUUAAAAGGACAAAUCUACAAAGAAGAAAUGGUUCAAUCUUAACCUUAGAGGAUUAGAGAAAAAGUUAGUAGAAAAUUAUUGAUCAUCUCCAAGUUUAAUUUUCAUUAUUGCAUGCGACUACAAGCUUU
This 272-nucleotide long non-coding RNA is filed under the name Olea europaea (common olive). Its description in RNAcentral is "long non-coding RNA (OEUR_LNC007542)". Lineage: Eukaryota; Viridiplantae; Streptophyta; Magnoliopsida; Lamiales; Oleaceae. The record is from RNAcentral.